RNAcentral lists this ribosomal RNA (400 nucleotides) under uncultured bacterium. RNAcentral's name for it is "bacterial SSU rRNA". It matches the Rfam family "Bacterial small subunit ribosomal RNA", at positions 29 to 433 of the family's 1533-position model. The record is from RNAcentral.
AUUGAACGCUGGCGGCAUGCCUUACACAUGCAAGUCGAGCGCGAAAGGGGGCAACCCCGACGUAGAGCGGCGGACGGGUGAGUAACACAUCGGAACGUGCCCAGUAGUGGGGGACAACCUCGAGAAAUCGAGGCUAAUACCGCAUACGACCCACGGGUGAAAGCGGGGGACCGCAAGGCCUCGCGCUAUUGGAGCGGCCGAUGUCCGAUUAGCUAGUUGGCGGGGUAAGAGCCCACCAAGGCGACGAUCGGUAGCUGGUCUGAGAGGACGACCAGCCACACUGGGACUGAGACACGGCCCAGACUCCUACGGGAGGCAGCAGUGGGGAAUUUUGGUACAAUGGGGGCAACCCUGAUCCAGCCAUGCCGCGUGCGGGAAGAAGGCCUUCGGUUGUAACCGU